RNAcentral lists this ribosomal RNA (406 nucleotides) under uncultured bacterium. Its description in RNAcentral is "partial 16S ribosomal RNA". It matches the Rfam family "Bacterial small subunit ribosomal RNA", at positions 30 to 526 of the family's 1533-position model. The record is from RNAcentral.
AUUGAACGCUGGCGGCAGGCUUAACACAUGCAAGUCGAACGCGUGGCGGACGGGUGAGUAAUGUCUGGGAAACUGUCUGAUGGAGGGGGAUCACUACUGGACACGGUAGCUAAUACCACAUACCCUCAGAUGUGCCCAGAUGGGAUUAGCUAGUAGGUGGGGUAAUGGCUCACCUAGGCGACGAUCCCUAGCUGGUCUGAGAGGAUGACCAGCCACACUGGAACUGAGAAACGGUCCAGACUCCUACGGGAGGCAGCAGUGGGGAAUAUUGCACAAUGGGCGCAAGCCUGAUGCAGCCAUGCCGCGUGUGUGAAGAAGGCCUUCGGGUUGUAAAGUACUUUCAGCGGGGAGGCGUUACCCGCAGAAGAAGCACCGGCUAACUCCGUGCCAGCAGCCGCGGUAAUUC